CCUACGGGAGGCAGCAGUAGGGAAUCUUCCGCAAUGGACGAAAGUCUGACGGAGCAACGCCGCGUGAGCGAAGAAGGUCUUCGGAUCGUAAAGCUCUGUUGUUAGGGAAGAACAAGUACCGGAGGGAAUGCCGGUACCUUGACGGUACCUGACGAGAAAGCCACGGCUAACUACGUGCCAGCAGCCGCGGUAAU
RNAcentral lists this ribosomal RNA (194 nucleotides) under uncultured bacterium. RNAcentral's name for it is "partial 16S ribosomal RNA". It matches the Rfam family "Bacterial small subunit ribosomal RNA", at positions 338 to 524 of the family's 1533-position model. The record is from RNAcentral.